This 4997-nucleotide long non-coding RNA is filed under the name Homo sapiens (human). RNAcentral's name for it is "non-protein coding lnc-CNBD1-4:11". Lineage: Eukaryota; Metazoa; Chordata; Mammalia; Primates; Hominidae. The record is from RNAcentral.
ACACACAGAGACACACCGCGACACACACACACACACGCGCGCAUACACACAGCCCGACACACACGCACGCGCGCUUCUUAAAGGAGACGGCUCAUAAAGGAUUCCCCACUACGCCAGCAGAGGGGAAGAGGAGCCCACGGGAAAGAAAAGCAGGCGAGGUUAAGAAUAAAGAGUGUUCCAGGAUAGCACAGAAGCAGAGACUUUAAGUCUAAACAGACCUAGAUUCAGAGCCGACCCGAUGCUGCUUGAAGAAGGCUGGAGGUAUGUUAAGGAGACAAGGGCUGUCAAGAAGCAGGGAUGUCUCUGGAAAGGUUCCCCUUGCUGCUGCCAUGUGAAGAAGGACAUGUUUGCUUCCCCUUCUGCCAUCAUUGUUAUUCAUGUUAGGCUCCUGAAAACACCACAAGGACCUACCCUCCGGGAGCCAGCCAGAGAACCCUUCUUCCUGCACUGUCUCCGUUAUGCCCAACAUUUCUGGGCAUAAGUUUUAAUAAACCUUACCUGGGAAAAGUUUGUUUGGCCUCGUGUUAAUUGCUAUUAUAUGGAGAGCCAAGAAUCUCGAACCAGUAAGAGUUGUGAAGUCACCCUCAAUAUUUCCCAAGUCUUCAAAGGAAUUGAGACACUAUAAUCAUUACCCAGGACUCCACGCUUGUCAAAUUUGUUGAUGACCUCCUACUUUGCAACCAAACUGAAUAGAAUGCUUGUAUAGACUCCCUAAUCCUUCUGAAGGUACUGACUGAGCAAGGCUACAAAGCCUCCAAAUCUAAAUGUCCAUGGGUACAGACAACUGACUUAUUUAGGCCAUAAAGCAUCUCGGAGCACUAAAAAACUCACAGUAAAAUAUCUUGAAGGAAUUUUGACAAUCUUUUCUUAAGAAGAAAGAAAAAAAACCAGAAAUUUUUAGAGGCAGCUGGUUAUUGCCAUCAAUGGAUUCUUAAUUUUGCCAUCCUAGCCAAGCCUUUAUAUGUUUUCCUCUCAGGUAUAACCUCAGAACCCCUUUUAUGGCCCUCUGAGACACUGGCCUCCUUUGAAGCAUUAAAAUAAGCAUUAUCUACACCCCCAGCUCUCAGUUUAUCCAAUUUUGACAAACCUUUUCAACAAUAUUGCCAUGAAAUUAAUGAGAUUGUUGCUAGUAUUCUAGAACAGCCGUUUGUCUCUCAAUUACUUUUUAUGGCAUAUUUCUUAUUUCGAUCAACCCUGUGACAUCAGGCAUGCCUCCAUGCCUGUGUGCGAAAGCCACAGCUGCCACCCUAAUGGAAAAAGCCUUUAUUCUUACAUUAGGCCUCCCUACUCACCUCUAUGUUACCCUUGAUGUGUCAGCGCUCUUACAAGCUCAUAAAACACAGCACCCUCUUUAUACAAUGGCAGACCACUGAUGAACAGGACCUAUUAACAAUUCUCUCUCUAUUGUAUCAUUGUAACACCCUGAACCGUGCUAUUCUAUUACUCCUCCUUGAUGAUGGACAGCCCAUUCUAUUCUACGUGAUUCCUUUGUAGCUAUAUAAAUGGUCUCAAAACUAUGAUUUUUUAGACAUCUUCUUAGACAGUCCAGACUUCUGUUUUGUCAUGGCUGUCAAGCAGAAUUCUCACCGAUACAUAGUAACUGACUGUGCCAUGGUUUCCUUAAAUGAAACACUUGAGACAAAUUCUGCCUUCUAUAUAAUCAGCCUGAACCACUGAGUCUAGAUCUUACACGAGCCUUGGCAAAGAGAAAACUGACACUAUUUACACUUGAGAUGUGCUUUGGACUCUGCCAUACUGUUGGCUGUAUUGAAAAGUCCCGUUUCUGACCUCUGCUGGUACCCCUAUUGCCAAUGGCCAUGUAAUUGUUAACCUAUUACGCCUAUUCAUCUUCUAAUUGAGGUUGCUUUUGUUUAUUGUUGGCACAUGCCAAGGAGACUGACACUGUAUCUCUGGUAGACAAUACGUCUGACAAAGCUGCCAAACAUGAACCCCCAACUCUGGCAAUAACCCAUUUUUUAACCCAGCUUACAACCCUGCCUUUAACACUUACUGACGUCAAUAAUAUUUGGCAGAUACCCUACAAUGAAAAAAAAGGCUGCAAGAAGAUUCCAGACAAUUGUUAGAAGGAUUAUACGUUGGACCAAAUGGACUUCCUAUAGUCCUUUAUCUUUUAUUGUUUUGUGCUUCUAUUUAUUGCCCAUCAAAUGGAAUAUAUGUGUAAAGAAGGGCAAAUCAAAGAGGUAAAUGACAGUGAUUUUGCCCUGGAAUCCACAGAAUUUCUGAUCAAAUUAUUUACCAAUGUAUUACUUGUAAAUCUUAUGAUAUUUCUGGAUGUAAGUAGCAUACCCCAUGAAAUCCUCUGAGACCCACAUUCCCUUUGCAACACUCCUGGUGGACUUUAUAGAUUUCCCUCAGGAUUCAGGUUAUUCUCAUUAUAGGUUGACUAUACCUAAUCUGAAAAUCCAAAAUCUGAAAUGAUACAAAUCCAAAACGUUAUGAGUGUUGUCAUAAUGCUCAAUGGAAAUGCUCAUGAAAGCAUUUUUUAUUUAAGGUCUUUGGAUUAAGGAUGCUCAUCCAGUAAAUAUGAUACAGCUAUUCCAGUGUCCAAAACUAUCCCAAAUCUGAAACACUUCUGGUCCCACCCAAGCAUUUCAGAUAAGGAAUACUCAACUCAUAAUUGGUGAUUACCUGCACAGUUAGUAGAUGGACUGAGUACUAUCCAACUAGACAUGCUGAUGCCACAUGGUAGUAAUGAAAAAAAAAAUUGAGAUUAUUCUUCAUUUUGGCAUUACUUAAUGUAUUAAAUCAGACCAAGGAACUCACUUAACAACAGAAGUAAAUCACAUGUUCACAAAAACUCUAGGAUAGUCAUUAAAAUUCUAUACUCUUUACCAUCCUCAGUCCUCAGAGAGGUGGAAUGUGAUAAUUUAGACAGCAAAAGAACUAUAAAAUAUGUCAGUACAAUAGACCUAAGUGGCCAGAAGCAUCACCCCUGACCCCAAUAAAAUCUGGAAAACCCCAAACAAGAGAGAUGGAUUAACUGCUUUUUGAAUAAUUUUUGAUAGCUUUAUGCCUAUUAGCAUCUCCAAACUUUUUGUUCCUGAAGUGAGUGAGCAUUAUGGGGACCUGAGUGAAAGGUUCAGUAUUAUGACUAGAUAUCUAAAAGAACUAUCUCUUGUACUUGGAGCUUACCAUUAACAGGCAAAAAAGUCAUGGCCAUUGUCUACCAACAAGCUUUCUAUCCCUUUUGACCAAGCUAUCAAGUAUACAUCAAAAUUUUGACAAGAAAGCAUACACUGUCAUCUUUCUGGGAAGUACCUUGUGAAGCAUUGCUGAACACCUACAUGGCCAUCAAAAUAAAAAGAAAUAUUUCCUGGAUUCAUGCAAGUCAUGCCAAGCUAGACCCAGAUCAUAAUUUCCAGAAAAAUUGAAAAGCUAUUCUUACAGCUGACUUCAAACCAAGGAUUUUCAGGGCCAAUUCACAGGGUCCCAAAGCAGAUGACAACAUAAAGUGGACUAUUUUUUCCAAUAUCUUGGAUCAAGAACUACCUUUCCACCUAUUUUCCCUUGAUAUCUUUCUCUUCUCUGACCAAAGGAAAAAAAAGUAAAUAAAAACCUUAAAAACCUCUUUGAGCUUUAAACAGAAACCUUCCCCUUUAUUUAUUGAUGGACUGUCUAGAGAUUGCUACUUUUUUCUUCUUCUGUUUCUUCACAAUGAGAUAUUUUCUAAACUGUGUCUUGCUUCAACUAACCCUUAUGGCUUUUUUUGACAAUUCUAGCAUAAAUCCAGCACCUACUCGCGCCAGUCUUCUAAACACUGGCAACUUUCAUCAAUCCGAAUUUUGGUUAUGUCAACAUAUCGGUAUACAGAAGAAGCUAACUAGUUUUUGUUUCUGCCAAUGCAAACACCUGGUGGACACAGACUGGACUAUGGAUGUACAAAAGGGUAUGGUAUCUACAAACAGGAAGACAAAAAUCAUGCCACCUCUCUUUCUGGUAAACUGAUUUGGCGCUUGGAAAAUUCCAUGGAAGCUCAAGUUCUAUUCUUUGUUCAGGUGAUGUUAUUGAAUGGACAAAUUUCCCUUUUCAUUGGAAACAGAAAUGGUACUGGACCCUUUCUAGAUCUCUUGCCUCACAGCUUCUAACCCAAAUCUUAUUUCUACAGCAACCAACACAGCUUCUCGUUUGUAAAACUUCUCAAGAUGUUUCAAAAUGGAAGAAAUACCAAAACCCACAAAGAAUCCUUGAGUUGGUAUGGUUAUUUUUAGUUGAGGACAUUUGAGAUUCCACAGAUGCAGAAAAGAAUCUUCUCAGAGCUUCCUUCUUCUGAUUAAAAGCAGCCACUUCUGGGAAAUAAGGCUGGCAUAAAUCCUCUCUUGAGAGUGGCUUUACUCCCAGAAACAAGACCAAGGGUAAAUCUACCAUAAAUCCCCUCUCCAGGGGAGUUUGAUGGCCAUAAAGAAGAUGAAAAGAGUUCUCACACCUGCAUAAACAAAUGUUAUCACAAACUUUCUUAUCUCUUGUUUGUUCUCCCAAAAAACUAUUUGUCUUUCCUAAAGAAAUCCAUUUGUUUUCCUUAUAGAAGUCUUUUCUCCCGGCUUGCUUCUCCUAUUAAGUUAGAUAUAUAAACUUCUAAUUUAACUUUUAGGAAACUACUUCUUUUGUAAGCUCUUGUAUGCAAAUAAACUGUUUUAUUCUCUUGUUAAUGUGUAUUUUCACAGCAUAUCCUCCACCCAGAUCCUGAAUUUGAGAGGGUAGAGGAAAAGUUUUCCUCUCCAACACUUUCGUUCUCUGUCAAUGGCUUCACUGGAUUGCUAGUCUUCCUAUUAAAAGCGGCAAUUUAUUCUUCCAAAGUUAGUUUCUAAAUAAUAUUCCAUAGAAUUUUCUUUUUAAAUAACCAGGUAAUACCUACGUUGACAUCAAGAGAGCACCAUGGUCAGUAAUUUUAAUACCCCAGGAACAUACUUUUAAGUAUACAUUGUUUUUCAACCAAUAUUGGAAAGGGAAAGUUCCAAACCAUACUAAUUGGACCUACA